UCAGAGAAAGAAUGCUUGCAGUUGAUUAAUCUUGCAAAACCUCACAUGAGGAGAUCAAAAUUUAUAUGAUACCACACUUCGCAAGAAUGUAACGACAAGGUCUAGAUUUUUGUGUCACUUGGUUAGACUAAUGCGUAGGACUCGUGUGAUCCUUGCACAAGGGCGGCCACCACCAAGUCAGGACUUUGUAGGGGCAAAUGACAGGUCAUGAGGUGCAAAAUGAAAAAUGAUCAAUACAAAUGCAGGUCGGAUAUUGAAUAUUGAAGAAGGGGGCGAGACGGUGUUCCCGGCUGCGAACCAAUGCGUCAGCUCUGUGCCAUGGUGGAAGAAAUUGCCUACACAUGGUAAAGAUGGACUCUCUAUAAAACCAAAGAUGGGAGAUGCAUUAUUUUUCUGGAGCAUGAAACCUGAUGGUACAUUGGAUUAUACGAGUUUGCAUGGUUCCUACCCCGUUAUAAGAGGGGACGAAUGGGCAUGUGUAAAGCUCAUGGAUGAUUAGAACACAAAACUUAACUGAGGGUAAUCGAACCACAAGUAUUAGUGGAGAAGAUGAGAAGAGACUCACAUUUUUUUUUUUAGAUAUAUGAUCGAGAAUCAGUUUUGUUGAUUAGUUACUCUAUAUCGAGAUAUAUAUAGGAUCAAUUUUGAUUUAUUUUUGAAUCUUUUUAUAUAUUGAUCCAUUUCUGUUUGGUUAUGGAUAAACAUGGUUUCGAUAAUUUGACAAAAAAAGUUUAUGAUAAAACCUUUGUAUUUAUGGACA
Cucumis sativus (cucumber) is the source of this 760-nucleotide long non-coding RNA. RefSeq lists it as uncharacterized. Lineage: Eukaryota; Viridiplantae; Streptophyta; Magnoliopsida; Cucurbitales; Cucurbitaceae. The transcript is spliced from 3 exons. The record is from RefSeq and is a predicted model, not a curated record.